This 455-nucleotide ribosomal RNA is filed under the name uncultured Streptococcus sp. RNAcentral describes it as "bacterial SSU rRNA". It matches the Rfam family "Bacterial small subunit ribosomal RNA", at positions 924 to 1382 of the family's 1533-position model. The record is from RNAcentral. Lineage: Bacteria; Bacillati; Bacillota; Bacilli; Lactobacillales; Streptococcaceae.
CACAAGCGGUGGAGCAUGUGGUUUAAUCGAAGCAACGCGAAGAACCUUACCAGGUCUUGACAUCCCGAUGCUAUUUCUAGAGAUAGAAAGUUACUUCGGUACAUCGGUGACAGGUGGUGCAUGGUUGUCGUCAGCUCGUGUCGUGAGAUGUUGGGUUAAGUCCCGCAACGAGCGCAACCCCUAUUGUUAGUUGCCAUCAUUCAGUUGGGCACUCUAGCGAGACUGCCGGUAAUAAACCGGAGGAAGGUGGGAUGACGUCAAAUCAUCAUGCCCCUUAUGACCUGGGCUACACACGUGCUACAAUGGUUGGUACAACGAGUUGCGAGUCGGUGACGGCGAGCUAAUCUCUUAAAGCCAAUCUCAGUUCGGAUUGUAGGCUGCAACUCGCCUACAUGAAGUCGGAAUCGCUAGUAAUCGCGGAUCAGCACGCCGCGGUGAAUACGUUCCCGGGCCUU